CGUGAAUAAACAAACAGCUCGUCUGAAAUGCCUGAGUGUACCCCGCUUUGCGGCGUAUUCGGUGUGAUAAAUCUUCACCGGAGUUGAUCCCUUUAUGGGGUCGCGUCUGUAAUGGUGUGGCUCUAUGCUUCGAACCGUCUCCAAGAGACAACCUCUGACAAUUUGACCUCAAAUCGGGUGGGACUACCCGCUGAACUUAA
Molecule: unclassified non-coding RNA, 200 nt
Filed under: soil metagenome
Description: partial contains internal transcribed spacer 2 and large subunit ribosomal RNA
Source: RNAcentral